GCGGUCGUGGUGGAACGGCAGACACGCUAUCUUGAGGGGGUAGUGGGCGGACGCCCGUGUGGGUUCAAAUCCCACCGACCGCACCA
Molecule: transfer RNA, 86 nt
Filed under: Insulibacter thermoxylanivorax
Lineage: Bacteria; Bacillati; Bacillota; Bacilli; Caryophanales; Paenibacillaceae
Description: tRNA-Leu
Rfam family: tRNA
About the family: Transfer RNA (tRNA) molecules are approximately 80 nucleotides in length.
Source: RNAcentral